This 202-nucleotide long non-coding RNA is filed under the name Vigna radiata. RNAcentral's name for it is "long non-coding RNA (VRAD_LNC013683)". Lineage: Eukaryota; Viridiplantae; Streptophyta; Magnoliopsida; Fabales; Fabaceae. The record is from RNAcentral.
CGGGAAUCUCCAAGCUUGGACCNGAGGGGGAGGUACCUGCAAUGGCACUCCGACGCCCAAGUUAGGGUUUUGUAUGGAAGAGCCUUGAAUGCAAGGCUAAAGAUUCUCAGUAUGAGAAUGUAGAGUGAAAUCACUCAGCUAAUUCAGAGCGAAUUAGGUAAAACGUAGCAAGUGUACUGUAAGAUAGCAUAAGAGAGCGUAA